RNAcentral lists this transfer RNA (87 nucleotides) under Synergistaceae bacterium. Its description in RNAcentral is "tRNA-Leu". It matches the Rfam family "tRNA". From Rfam's summary of the family: Transfer RNA (tRNA) molecules are approximately 80 nucleotides in length. Their secondary structure includes four short double-helical elements and three loops (D, anti-codon, and T loops). The record is from RNAcentral. Lineage: Bacteria; Thermotogati; Synergistota; Synergistia; Synergistales; Synergistaceae.
GUCGGGGUGGCGGAACUGGUAGACGCGCUGGAUUCAGGAUCCAGUGAGCGCAAGCUCAUGGGGGUUCAAUUCCCACCCUCGACACCA